AUUGAACGCUGGCGGCAUGCCUUACACAUACAAGUCGAACGGCAGCGGACCUUCGGGUGCCGGCGAGUGGCGAACGGGUGAGUAAUAUAUCGGAACGUACCUUUCAGUGGGGGAUAACGUAGCGAAAGUUACGCUAAUACCGCAUAUUCUGUGAGCAGGAAAGCAGGGGAUCGCAAGACCUUGCGCUGAUUGAGCGGCCGAUAUCAGAUUAGCUAGUUGGUGAGGUAAAGGCUCACCAAGGCGACGAUCUGUAGCGGGUCUGAGAGGAUGAUCCGCCACACUGGAACUGAGACACGGUCCAGACUCCUACGGGAGGCAGCAGUGGGGAAUUUUGGACAAUGGGCGCAAGCCUGAUCCAGCCAUGCCGCGUGAGUGAAGAAGGCCUCGG
RNAcentral lists this ribosomal RNA (388 nucleotides) under uncultured bacterium. RNAcentral's name for it is "bacterial SSU rRNA". It matches the Rfam family "Bacterial small subunit ribosomal RNA", at positions 30 to 420 of the family's 1533-position model. The record is from RNAcentral.